UUUAUAGUGCAGAAGAAAACAUUAUUUGUAUUUGGACUGAUAUUAAGUAUAUAGAGUUGUUGCUAAUUACAUUUCCAUUGAUUAUUGAUCAUAUGGUACUUCCUCCUCUGCUGAUGUAAUUUUGAAGCGACUUAAAACAAGCGCACCUGGACCAUGCAAAGCUUGUCAGAAAUCCAGCAAUAUUCUGCAUAAUGUAGGGGCUGUUGUUGUGACCUGUGGCAUAUGAAAGAUGGAGUAUAUGCUGCCGUAUUGACAACACUUCCAGAGGAUAUGUUCAAGGUUCAUGCAGACGGAAAUCAUCUAAUGAUAUGUCAGCUGAAGUUAAGAACUUGCUAUCAGCUCUUAACGAUCUUCUAAUGAGGAUCCGCCUAUGGAAGAGUUAUGUCAUACCCUCAAGUACGGUAAGUUAUGGACAGACGGGUACUGAUAAAAAUAUAUUCACUGAGACCUAUUGCUGAAUAUGCAAUUGAGGACAUAUUUCAUACUCCUAUAUCACAAUUUUCUCCCUCUUCUUCUCAGGCUUCCUUGCAACAACAAUGAAGUACGAAAGGAAUGAAAGUCGAGAAGUUGAGGCAUAAGUCCAAGGUGAGCUCUUGAUCCGGGUUCGUGCAAGGUAUCUUAAACUAGGUUCGAGCUGGAGCAAGUUAGUUGAUUGUCUUCUGAAGAGCAUGGACGAGCAUCCAAUCCUCUGCAUUUCUCCUCUCAUCCAUCUCUUGGUGUCGAAGAUCGACCUUUUCUGCUUUUGGUUCAGGUUUAACUCUGUCAAGGAGCUUCAAGUUAGAAUCAGAUGCUACAUUAUUGGAAUUGCCUUUGAUGGCCUCUUGUAUAUUGUUUCUGAUGGCUGGUGAUGCAUAUACUUCUUAUGUCUUGUGGUAAUCUUCCAUUCCUGAUGCUUUUACUUCACCAACAUUACCCUCAAUCGAGGAGAGUUCUACCUUGUUUGAAUCUUCUACUUCACCAGUAUUCGCUGGUCUUUUACUGAAGCAAUUGUCAGCUUCACACAGUUUCCAUUCUGUAACAUCUUCCUAUAGAAAACAAGUCCUUCAACUGUAGGGCUUACAUCAAUUUGAUCAUCUUUACCGACCAUGCAAAUUUCUUCCUUUUUACUAAAAGAAUCGUCAUCAGUAAUCGUUGAUAUAGGUGUAGUAGUCUCCUUACUUGAGUCUUCUCCGACUUCUACUACUGUGUAGUUGCCUUCACUUGAUUCAUUAUCUUUAGUUUUGACAAUAAAGUGGUAAGAAUCAAGCUCUACAUUUUGAGAUUCUAUAAUUUUUUCGAGGAGGUCAGAGAAAAUUUGCCUUGUUCAUCCAUGGACUCUUCAACAAGGAAGGUCACUUCCUUGGCUAGGUGAGAAUCCUUACAUAUCUCAUUCUUUGAUUCAUAAUUCAUAUCAAUUGUGACCAUUACUUGCGCUUGUGUGUGCUUAUUCCCUGUACCAUAUGUCACAAUCAGGCUGCAGUUAUUUAUUAUGUCAAUCAACAUUCUGUAAAUACUUAUCUAAUCAUUACUUUACACUAUCUGGAGUGGGGCUUGGAUGCUACUCUAUGUUACAUGAUUGUCCGAUUUAUACUUGGCAUGUGUGAUAUCUGGGAGUAGACAUUGUCCAUAAUAUAAGUAAUACAAGUAUAAUAAAAUUCUAGAUUUGAGAAGUAUGAUUUUCGUUUUCCGUAUUUAUUGGAUAUCUUUAACAAACAAAUGGACAAAUGGUUGAAUACUUUAAUGUAGAUUAACUGUAAGUCUAUUACCUUGAAAGUGAUGACUAGACAUUUAGUUUGGUGCAGAGAUAUUACUUGUCUGGGUAGACUCACUGGCUGACAAAGAAUCAGUAUCACUGAAACUCAGACAUUCCACUAUUUCAUCAUGAGAAUACGGUGGGUAUGCGUCAUCUAGGAACUCCAAAAAUAUACUCGCUAGCACUAUUGCUCAACUCAAAAUCUGGUAUCACUGUAAUUUGUCUUCGCAUAAAUCUCACACUUGUCGUGGGUGGUAUGAUUUUGCCCCUCUUCCCAUUCCAUAUCUAAGUUUUCGCAAAAUAACUCACUAGGAGAGCUCUGACGCUCAAAUGAUAUUUGUUUCCGAAGAGUAGUUGGGGAAUAGUCUUCGUCUUUGAGACUGGAAUUCAUCCUUAACAGACCAGUGUCUUCAGUUAGAAUUGGAUGGAAUUCUCUGUGAUAUGAAAGGGUUACUCAGAUCAUUAACUUACCUUCCAACCCAUAUUUGGGGGUUAUAAUCUCUUGUUAUAAAUAUUAUUUAAAUAAUCCAUAGGUUGCAGUUGAUUGUAGUUUACAAAGGAGAGUGGAUGCUUAUCUUGCUGACUACCUUUUUCAUAAAUCUAAGAGUUUAAAUGUUUUGCAAGAUAAUGGGAUUUCAAGAUCAAGCAAUAGUGUUAGUAUAGCCACCAAUAAAGGUGUCUUCGAGCAACCAGAACCCCUGAAUCUUUGUAGUUCUUCAUGGAGAGAAUUACUAGGUGAAGAAACUUGCAGCGUCAUGAUUAGAAGCUUGCUUCGAAGGAAUGCUCGAACGGAAGAAAAAUGUUGGAGUUUCGCCAAAGUCUUCCAGCAUAUAAGGAGAAAGAUGCACUAAUAACAGGUGUAACAUGUAAUCAGAUUUUCUUCUUAUUGUGUCGAAAGAGCUACUUUCUCAUAGACCAGAGUUAAGUUGAUAUUGAUGAGUGCGACAUUACUCUAAGCUAUUCUCUUCUUAUUUUGGUGGUGCUCCUGUGGUGAACAUCGUGGAAGAAUAUGCUCAGCAGGUUGGUUUGUGUCUGCACCCUUGUCAAUCCAUGAUGAAUUGAAAAAGGAGGAAACAUUUCUUAUUCAGUUUUUCCUUUCUGGCUAGAAAGCAGAAGACUUGGUUCAGAAGUGCACUUUUAAAUAAGUUUAACAAAGAUAGGUAGCUAAUUACGUUCCCGAACCAAAGCGUACCAUUACUUUGGUAACAGUCAAACCAUAAGUCCAGCGUGUUACAAUGUCUACUCCCCAAAUAUUUGCACGGAGUUUACAGAUGCAACCAACUUUGUAAUGGAAGUUGUUCCUCAUUUGAAGAAUCUCCUUUCGUACCAUUACACAAAUAGGAGGUUGUCAGACUUAAAAUCUCAUUAGUUGUGUUGGAGAGGGAGUUGCAUCCAAACUAUCAACGACCUACAUUGUAAACGUACUUAUGGGUCCGUAUUGUGUAUUAUAUAUUUCGUAUAUUGCAACUCGAAUUUUAGCAUACCUUUGCUAGCAUUGCAUUUUCAUAAAUUUGGAAUGCUCGUCUUUUAUACAACAUAUUUGUAAAACACUUUUACCGAACCUGAUUGAUAUGAAUGAUUAUAUUGUAUUGACGAU
Molecule: long non-coding RNA, 3329 nt
Organism: Spinacia oleracea (spinach)
Lineage: Eukaryota; Viridiplantae; Streptophyta; Magnoliopsida; Caryophyllales; Amaranthaceae
Exons: 11
Source: RefSeq, a predicted model, not a curated record